Molecule: ribosomal RNA, 257 nt
Filed under: uncultured bacterium
Lineage: Bacteria
Description: partial 16S ribosomal RNA
Rfam family: Bacterial small subunit ribosomal RNA
Source: RNAcentral
UACGUAGGGUGCGAGCGUUGUCCGGAAUUAUUGGGCGUAAAGAGCUUGUAGGCGGUUUGUCGCGUCUGCUGUGAAAAUCCGGGGCUCAACCCCGGACUUGCAGUGGGUACGGGCAGACUAGAGUGUGGUAGGGGAGACUGGAAUUCCUGGUGUAGCGGUGAAAUGCGCAGAGUAUCAGGAGGAACACCGAUGGCGAAGGCAGGUCUGCUGGGCCACUACUGACGCUGAGAAAGCGGAAAGCAUGGGGAGCGAACAGG